Molecule: long non-coding RNA, 484 nt
Organism: Cyprinus carpio carpio
Lineage: Eukaryota; Metazoa; Chordata; Actinopteri; Cypriniformes; Cyprinidae
Source: Ensembl
UUGGCCCCUGUAAUUUUCUUCCUAGGUUUGACGCUGUAGUCAUUUUCUGUGUGACUUUCCAUUUAGCACAUAUGUCUUGAAAGACGGCUGACAUGAAUUGCAUACCUCUGUCAGACAGAAUGAAAUCAGGUUCCCCUCCUCCGAGUGAGGAUUUCUUCUCUGAGGUGGGAAGCAACAGUUUGAGCAGUGGCACUUCACAAGGGGAAAAAUUCAAGCAAUCGAGAGUAAUAAUCUACAAAUCCAAUAGAUAUCCAUGUCUGUGGGAACUGUGAGGCAAUGGACCCAUGAUAUCCACUCUCAACAUCAUGUUUGGAUGUGUGGUGGUGAUGUCCACAUGACUGGCCAGAAGGCAACUUGAUGCACUCUCUGAAUGCUGGCAUCCUGGCGUUCGAGAGUAGCGUCACUCACAAGUCUCUUUCUCCUUUCCCACGACCGUACAAAGAGGUUUAUCUAACGUGUUGGCUGUGUUUUUCCCUAUGGGCAA